UCGAAACCCGCCUCGAGCAGACUUGCGAACUUGUUCAUGCCUGAUGGGGUGCCCGGUCCUUCGAUCGGCAACCCGUCACCUGACUGUCCUCGCGCAAACAUGUGUGGCUGUCGGGUCCAACGAACCCACGACGCGGCAUGCGUCAAGGAUAACAUCAGCGGAGCGACGCCCUCGUUACGCACCCAUUUGUGGCGUGCUGUUCUAGUGGCGGCUGACUCUCGUAAUUGAGUACUGAAAAAAAU
This 242-nucleotide unclassified non-coding RNA is filed under the name Pinguicula crystallina. Its description in RNAcentral is "ITS1". Lineage: Eukaryota; Viridiplantae; Streptophyta; Magnoliopsida; Lamiales; Lentibulariaceae. The record is from RNAcentral.